AAAGAUAUGAGCUUUCUGGUUGAUAUCUUCAUUUGGAUUUUGAGACAUCCCCAGGCGGGAAGGGUAGUUUAGCAGUGGUUUCAAUGCUCAAAGCGCAAAGUUUAGCUUCGGGCGAUGGAUUCUGAAGUUAGAAGUUUGAAAAUUCGACUACUUGAAGUUAUAUUAAAAUCUGCAUGGUCAAACGUUAGCUUAAUAUUGUGUAUUGUGAGA
This 210-nucleotide unclassified non-coding RNA is filed under the name Hevea brasiliensis (rubber tree). Lineage: Eukaryota; Viridiplantae; Streptophyta; Magnoliopsida; Malpighiales; Euphorbiaceae. The record is from RNAcentral.